UUUUGGACAGUGAAGGAAACCAUUAACAAAACAAAACAACUGAAUGGGAAAAGGAGCAGAUGGAGACCUGGGAAGUUUCAGGAACUUGCCCAAAGUGACACACUGGUAAGUGUGGUGCCCAAGAUACCACCAGUAACCAAGACCAUCCCCUGCUCAGCUCUGAUGCAUUGCAGCUAACCUCCCUGUGACUCUUUUCACAUGUGGAAAACAAGUAAGUUUAACUCCAUGAUGUCUAGGAAGCUUUUACAACGCUAUGAUGUCCUGAUUUGUUCUUUUGUUUUAUGUCUUGAACUCUUUUUUACUGGAUAUAUUUGACAUACAACAUUAUAUAAAUUGAAGGUGUACACCUGUUACUUUGAUAUGUUUAUAUAUCAUGAUUGCCCUUGAGCUAUAUCACACUACAUAAUUAUAGUACAAUAUUGUUAUCUGUGUUCAUUAUACUACUGUUCACUCUGCCCUCUUUACAGUCUCCUUUUAAAAUGGAGAGAUCUUGAGGAUAGAUAAAAAUUGGAAAUCCCCACAGAAUGAUUCCAAACCUCCUAGUACAUCAUGACCAGCUGGUAUCUUCUAAGAAUACUUAUUUCCAAAGUCCCUCACCAACUGAGGACUAUAUGAAUAAAAACCUCAAUUUCUUACCUCUUUUGAAAAUACAAAAUUCUUCCAGCCCUGGGUUUGCUUUCUUGAUGCAAAUGAUCAGCACAUGCCCCUUUUAUUUGAGGCCUGUGUUCUCAAAUUUCCCACAGUACACGCUCUCCCUAAUUACAUACAAUCCACUUCAAAUAAUUUUAAAUUGCUUGGUUGAGAUUUUUAGGCCGUGGCAUCAGCAUCACCUAGUAAAAUGUGUUGAAACACUAAUUGCUGGAAACCACUGAUCUUCUGUAAGAAAGUGUUGUCACUUUCCCAUUUAUUUAUGUGUGUGUGUGUGUGUGUGUGUGUGUCUGUUAUAAUCCAAUGCUAUUGUUAUUUUUGUUCUUAUUCAAGAUGUCUCAACUUUGGGCAUUGGGGAGCUCUUAUGUUGGUUCCCAAGCUUUUUCAAUGAGUCUCUCCACACCCCACCACUGCCUUUUUUUUUUUUUUUUUGCACUUCCUUUGGUACUUUCUGGCAGUACAUGAUGCUCUAAGCUUAUCUUGUAUUUUCCUUACCAGGGCCCUGGAAUUAACUAGUUCUCCAAGUAUCCAUGGUUUCUUUUAUUGGAGAAAAGUAUUUAGAAACCAAGAUCUGGGUACUAGGUUUGCUCAUUGUUAUUGCUGCCUCUAGCCCCUUUCAAUGAACAGAACUAAGAAGUCUGUGUAUACGUACUAACUCAUAUAUAUACAAACCUAUAGAUUUAUUUCUGAAUCUAUUUAUCUGUAAAUGUAUAUUUAAAUUGUCCAUAUGGGUACCUUCACUUCUAAUCCAUUACCAUAGGAUUCAUACUGGCCUUCGGGAUAUCAGAUUUUUAAUCUUUGCAUGGCUUUUUUAUUUUAACAAUGGCUCAAGAACAUCAUGGGGGAUGAGGAAGCUUCUCUUGAUAACUAUUUUAUAGGUUUUAAUAAAAAUACCAAGUUUAGCAUAACAAAAAUACCAGCAUAUCCCCAUGUUUAGUAUCCCUCAACUCCUUCUGAAAUCUUCCAUAAUUUAGAACAUACAGCCUGACUGUUCCUGAAGGUGAGAAGACCUGCCUCACUUCCCUUUUUGUACAAACACAGUUUGUCUCCAGCCCUAUGGAAUAAUGCCUUUUGUAACAAUAAGCUGGUACUUGUGGAUUCUAAAUAUAAGCCUGUUCUUAGAGAUUAUAAUCAGAACUUUGAAUUACAUGUGAAAUCUUAUUUUGAAUUCAGGUACACAAUUACUCACUCAGACACUUAAUUAUACUGCCUUAGGAUAGCAUUAGAACAAUAGUUUUAAUUGUUUUUUUGGGAGGGGUUGGAUUACAAAAGUAACCUGUUAUCCUGUGAGGGAGCUGAAGUGACUAUAGUCUUAAGGAUUUCACAGAAUCAAACUGAUCAUCAGCUGUGAGGUUUUCCUGUAAUUCUUUCAUGUUUAUUCAGGAAGCAGCCUUACUUGGAUAGGCUCCUCCUUCUUCUCCUUAUACUUCACAUAAAUCUAGUGGUGAUUAGAUGUGUCUUAGAGCCACAUCUAAGGAGUUGAACAAUACUUAGAACAAGGCGACAGCUCCCAGGUUGCUGGAGGUAUAGCCCCUCAAUAGUUUGGAAAACAUUCCGGAUCUUAAACAGCAAUACCAGUAAUUAUGAAGGCACCAUCCCUUUCAUAAGAAAGAAAACAAGACAAUGAAAGCAAAGCCCUUUUACUAACAAGGUACAGUGAUAGCAUGUGUUCAGCCUUCCCAAAACCUGUCUGGCAUUUGUUUCUGGACUGCUGGGGAGUAUCUUCCAUCUUUCUCUAAGCACUCAUGAAAUGAUACAAAGAUAAACAAUUGGAGGCUAAUCAGCAGUGUCUUUGGGGUAGCAAGAGAGAAAAGUAGCCUGCCAUUAAUAUCAAAGGAAUUAAUCAUGGUUUACAUAGGUGACUUAGCAGCUUAACUAUGCAAGUGCUUGAAAACAAGGACCCAACAAAUUUUACAAAAGUUUGGAGAACCAGGUAUGGCAGACAGCUUAUAGGACUAUUUGACAAGCUAUUUAAACUUCACAGUUUUAAUACUGUAAAGAUGCUCUCUGUAAAGAGAUAGUGCCUUUUUGUGUGAGAGGCUAUGUACAUUGCAGAUCUGUGUUUCUCAAACUUGUGUCUGUGAGGUUCUCCUGGGCAGUUUUGUUAAAACACCAAUUUCAAUUCAGCAGGUCUAGGGACUGGGCUGAGAUGCUGCAUUUCUGAGGUGCACAGGUGGUGCUGACGCUGCAGGCCAGCACUCCUCAUUCUGCAUAGCAAGGGUCUGUCUGGAUUGCUCUAGUACUUCUGGAAGGUAGGCUUGAACUUCUCACACUCCCCAAAUUUAUGUAUCUCCAAAUUAACAACAUGUAGCACUGUGAAUGUUCAAAGGUUAGGAGACUAGAAUAGCUUUUUGGAGUAGAGGUAUUUGGCCAGAUAAUUUUUUGUAGUUUAUAGAGUUUA
Long non-coding RNA from Phyllostomus discolor (pale spear-nosed bat), 3049 nucleotides. RefSeq lists it as uncharacterized. Lineage: Eukaryota; Metazoa; Chordata; Mammalia; Chiroptera; Phyllostomidae. The record is from RefSeq and is a predicted model, not a curated record. The transcript is spliced from 2 exons.